GCUGGCGGCAGGCCUAAUACAUGCAAGUCGAGCGCGCCCUUCGGGGUGAGCGGCGGACGGGUGAGUAACGCGUGGGAAUAUGCCCUUCUCUAAGGAAUAGCCUCUGGAAACGGAGAGUAAUACCUUAUACGCCCUUUGGCGGAAAGAUUUAUCGGAGAAGGAUUAGCCCGCGUUAGAUUAGGUAGUUGGUGGGGUAAUGGCCUACCAAGCCUACGAUCUAUAGCUGGUUUGAGAGGAUGAUCAGCCACACUGGGACUGAGACACGGCCCAGACUCCUACGGGAGGCAGCAGUAGGGAAUCUUAGACAAUGGGGGCAACCCUGAUCUAGCCAUGCCGCGUGUGUGAUGAAGGCCCUAGGGUCGUAAAGCACUUUCGCCAGAGAUGAUAAUGACAGUAUCUGGUAAAGAAACCCCGGCUAACUCCGUGCCA
Molecule: ribosomal RNA, 429 nt
Filed under: uncultured Paracoccaceae bacterium
Lineage: Bacteria; Pseudomonadati; Pseudomonadota; Alphaproteobacteria; Rhodobacterales; Paracoccaceae
Description: bacterial SSU rRNA
Rfam family: Bacterial small subunit ribosomal RNA
Source: RNAcentral